GACGAACGCUGGCGGCGUGCCUAAUACAUGCAAGUAGAACGCUGAAGAGAGGAGCUUGCUCUUCUUGGAUGAGUUGCGAACGGGUGAGUAACGCGUAGGUAACCUGCCUUGUAGCGGGGGAUAACUAUUGGAAACGAUAGCUAAUACCGCAUAACAAUGGAUGACACAUGUCAUUUAUUUGAAAGGGGCAAUUGCUCCACUACAAGAUGGACCUGCGUUGUAUUAGCUAGUAGGUGAGGUAAUGGCUCACCUAGGCGACGAUACAUAGCCGACCUGAGAGGGUGAUCGGCAACACUGGGACUGAGACACGGCCCAGACUACUACGGGAGGCAGCAGUAGGGAAUCUUCGGCAAUGGGGGCAACCCUGACCGAGCAACGCCGCGUGAGUGAAGAAGGGUUUCGGAUCGUAAAGCUCUGUUGUAAGUCAAGAACGGGUGUGAGAGUGGAAAGUUCACACUGUGACGGUAGCUUACCAGAAAGGGACGGCUAACUACGUG
This 497-nucleotide ribosomal RNA is filed under the name uncultured bacterium. RNAcentral describes it as "partial 16S ribosomal RNA". It matches the Rfam family "Bacterial small subunit ribosomal RNA", at positions 28 to 507 of the family's 1533-position model. The record is from RNAcentral.